This is a long non-coding RNA of Myotis daubentonii (Daubenton's bat), 1041 nucleotides long. RefSeq lists it as uncharacterized. Lineage: Eukaryota; Metazoa; Chordata; Mammalia; Chiroptera; Vespertilionidae. The record is from RefSeq and is a predicted model, not a curated record. The transcript has 4 exons.
GGCCCCUGGCCUCACCUAGUUUGGGGCGGGUCCGGGAUCUGGGGAGUGAGUGUCCCCCUCUCUGCUCCCUGGGGUCUGACCUCGACCACCAUCUCCUGGGGUGUCCCCCGCGGGUUUCUGCGGCCCAGGGUGACCCCGCCCUUGCUCUCCCGCAGGUGUUCCACGUGUCCAUAGCAUUUGCGUCACAAUGACCUGGGCGACAGGUGGGAGCCUGGGCGAAGGGUUCCCAUUGUGUCCCAUUGCUACUUGCUUCCACUAUAGAUGUCUGUGGCUUUAGGGAGCAGGAGACUUCAGGAUUUCAAUGCCAAGAAAAGUUGCAGAGGCCUGUAGCUGUGAACCAAGUUUGGGCUGAAAGGAAAAAGGCUGUGUGAAAAAAACUGUGUGUAUGCAUAUGAAAGAACCAAACCCGGUGUUUGAGUACCCUGCAGGGAUCACCUGAAGAAAAAGUGCUGGAAUAGCCAUGAAGCCAGGCAUUCGCAACUGUGAUCCGUAUCCAGUGGAUUGAGAAGAAAGAGGAAGCGAUGGAGGCUGAGCCUAUGAGAAGCCUGAAGACACAGGAAAUAUACUAUUACCUAAGGAAUGGUUGAAUUCAUCAUGUAGUCCAAAGGCUGUAGAAUAUUGAGAUGGGAUUGUGACAGAACUGAAGAGGUCAUAAUAAACCAGAGGUCCUGGACUUGAAGACCAGUAUCUCACUUCUGUGUGCGGUGGCUGGAAAUGACCGGUUGUCUCCCAUUGAAGUUAUGUGAGGAUUGGUUGGAUCAUGUGCUAUGAGUAUUUCCUUUGGAUAUCAGGGAGAAAGGGUAUGAGUGUGUGUGUGUGUGAGUGUGAGUGUGUGUGUGUGUGUGUGUGUGUGUGUGUGUGUGUGUGAAAAGUCUUCAUUAUAUAUGAGAAAUUUUAAGCCUCAAGAAAAUAUAGAUGGAAGUCCACUUACUUUUCAUGUGGGGGACUGCUGGCCUACUGUGCCCCAGAAAAUUCAUAUAACCUUUGGUUGGCUUGUUUAGCCCAGUGAUUUUUGAGAUAAUAAAAAUUAUGUUGUUCUUC